This 959-nucleotide ribosomal RNA is filed under the name uncultured organism. RNAcentral's name for it is "bacterial SSU rRNA". It matches the Rfam family "Bacterial small subunit ribosomal RNA", at positions 28 to 1003 of the family's 1533-position model. The record is from RNAcentral.
GAUGAACGCUGGCGGCGUGCUUACACAUGCAAGUCGAACGGGAACCUCUGGAUUCGUCUGGAGGGGAGAGUGGCGAACGGGUGAGUAACACGUAGGUGACCUGCCUCGAAGACGGGGAUAACUGCUGGAAACGGUAGCUAAUACCCGAUGGUCUCGAUAAUUCGGUUUGUCGAGUAAAGGCUCCGGCGCUUUGAGAGGGACCUGCGGCCCAUCAGCUAGUUGGUAGGGUAACGGCCUACCAAGGCGAAGACGGGUAGGGGGCGUGAGAGCGUGACCCCCCACACUGGCACUGGGACACGGGCCAGACUCCUACGGGAGGCAGCAGUGAGGAAUAUUGCGCAAUGAGCGAAAGCUAGACGCAGCAACGCCGCGUGGGUGAUGAAGGCCUUCGGGUCGUAAAACCCUUUUCUGGGGGAAGAGUAAGGACGGUACCCCAGGAAUAAGCCUCGGCUAACUAUGUGCCAGCAGCCGCGGUAAUACAUAGGAGGCAAGCGUUAUCCGGAUUUACUGGGCGUAAAGAGCGUUGAGGCGGCUUCGUAAGUUGGACGUGAAAGCUCCCGGCUUAACUGGGAGAGGCCGUUCAAUACUGCGGGGCUUGAGGACAGCAGAGGGGGGUGGAAUUUCCGGUGUAGUGGUGAAAUGCGUAGAUNUCGGAAGGAACACCAGUGGCGAAGGCGGCCCCCUGGGCUGCUCCUGACGCUGAAGGCGAAAGCUAGGGUAGCGAACGGGAUUAGAAACCCCGGUAGUCCUAGCCGUAAACGAUGGAUACUAGGUGUAGGAGGUUAAAACUCCUUCUGUGCCGGAGCUAACGCGUUAAGUAUCCCGCCUGGGGAGUACGGUCGCAAGGCUAAAACUCCAAGGAAUUUGACGGGGGGCCCGCACAAGCAGCGGAGCGUGUGGUUUACUUCGAUGCAACGCGAAGAACCUUACCAGGGCUUGACCUGUAGGUAGUAGUGAAG